This is an RNA transcript of Ipomoea triloba (trilobed morning glory), 1244 nucleotides long. It is a transcript of the gene named nudC domain-containing protein 2-like, with no coding region annotated. The transcript is spliced from 7 exons. NCBI's taxonomy places the organism in Eukaryota, Viridiplantae, Streptophyta, Magnoliopsida, Solanales, Convolvulaceae. The record is from RefSeq and is a predicted model, not a curated record.
UGUCGUUGAACGCCCGAAGCCCUGAGGGCCUGAACUGCUGAUCGUGAAAACCCUAAUACCCUAACUCCUCGUCGCCCCAAAGCUCCAAGCUGAAGUCGCCGGACGCCGCCUCGCCGCACCACGAACCACCGACCAGACUCACCAGAUAUAAGCACUAAGCUCUUCGUCGACUCGCCGGACCUGUCCGCCGCUUCGCCUGCUGCCGGACUAUUACUCGCUCACCGUCGGACCAGUCACUCGCUCAUCGCCGGAUUUCUGACGAAAGACAUUGGAAUCAAACUAACCUGGGAAAUUGGAAAAUUGUAAGAUUAAAGCUCCAGACCUUCAAGAAAUGGCUGACAAAUUGGCCCCUGAGAAGCAGCACAGCUUCAUCCACAAUGGUCAGAAGGUCUUUGAAUGGGACCAAACACUUGAAGAGUUGAAUAUUUAUAUCAAUCUCCCGGAAAAUGUUCCCAAAAAGCUAUUCUAUUGUAAAAUCGAGUCCAAACAUUUGGAAGUUGGGAUUAAAGGCAACCCUCCUUACCUCGAUCAUGACCUUUCCAAUCAUGUGAAGACAGAUUGCUCAUUCUGGACUUUAGAGGAUGAUAUAAUGCACGUUACCCUUCAAAAGAGGGAUAAAGGUCAGACAUGGUCUUCUCCUAUCAUAGGUCAAGGUCAGUUGGAUCCGUACACCACGGACCUUGAACAGAAGCGCCUCAUGCUUCAAAGGUUCCAAGAAGAGAAUCCGGGCUUUGAUUUUUCACAAGCACAGUUCAAUGGCAAUUGCCCUGAUCCAAGGUCCUUCAUGGGUGGGAUCCGAUCUACUUAACUUUGAAAGUAAUUUAUCUUCACUCUGAUUCAUCUCUCAGUCUCGGCUUUCUGCAGUCUCUAGUGGAUGCCAUGUCAAAACUGGAUUUGUGCAAUUGUUAGGCAUGUCCAAUUUUUAAAUAUUUAUGGAGGCUAAUGUAAGGAAACUUUAGGAACAUAUUACUAUGACUAUGAAAUCAAGUCAAAUUUGGUGACCACCAAGGAUAGUUUUGAAGUACAUAUUCCUGCAUUGGUUAAUCAACUGCACUUUAUAGCCUGAAUUGUUUGGAUGGUUGAAACUUGAAAUUAUUGUUAGUUUCUUUGUAAUAUGCUUAGAUGGGUGAACUCUUCAAGUUCUAUGUGUUUAUUAUAUUAUUUAGUAUUUACAAUCUGUAUUAGAGUUGCAGUUGUAUUGGUAUAAUUUUCAAUUGCAGAUUAGUCAGGAGAAAAUUAUUCAA